UCCUACGGGAGGCAGCAGUGGGGAAUUUUGGACAAUGGGCGCAAGCCUGAUCCAGCAAUGCCGCGUGAGUGAAGAAGGCCUUCGGGUUGUAAAGCUCUUUUGUCAGGGAAGAAACGGUGGGAGCUAAUAUCUCCUACUAAUGACGGUACCUGGAGAAUAAGCACCGGCUAACUACGUGCCAGCAGCCGCGGUAA
Molecule: ribosomal RNA, 194 nt
Filed under: uncultured Gammaproteobacteria bacterium
Lineage: Bacteria; Pseudomonadati; Pseudomonadota; Gammaproteobacteria
Description: partial 16S ribosomal RNA
Rfam family: Bacterial small subunit ribosomal RNA
Source: RNAcentral